GACGAACGCUGGCGGCGUGCUUAACACAUGCAAGUCGAACGAAAAGACCCUGCGUUUGUUUCGUGCUCGAGUGCCGAACGGGUGAGUAACACGUGUGUAACAUGCACUUGACUGACGGAUAACUUCACGAAACUCCGGCUAUUAUCGCAUAGGAUCUCUUGCUGCAUGGUGUUGGAUGGAAAGAUUCGGCGGUAGUGGAUAGACUCGCGGCUUAUCAGCUUGUUGGUGAGGUAGUGGCUUACCAAGGCUUUGACGGCUAGACGGCCUGAGAGGGUAACCGGCCACCUUAAGCCUGAGAUAGGGCACAGACUGGUACGGUCCGCAGUAGUCGAAAAUCUUGCAGAGCGAGCGGAAGCGUGAUAUAACAACGCCGCGUGCGGAAAAACGGGCUUCGGGUUAAAAACCACUUUCUCAUGAGCCGAGGCGUGAGUGACGGUAAUGGGUAAGGAAGCACCGGCUAACUACGUG
RNAcentral lists this ribosomal RNA (468 nucleotides) under uncultured bacterium. RNAcentral's name for it is "partial 16S ribosomal RNA". It matches the Rfam family "Bacterial small subunit ribosomal RNA", at positions 28 to 507 of the family's 1533-position model. The record is from RNAcentral.